AUCGAACGCUGGCGGCACGCCUAACACAUGCAAGUCGAGCGGCAGCGAGAGUGGUAGCAAUACUACUUGUCGGCGAGCGGCGGACGGGUGAGGAACACGUAGGAAUCUACCCAGAAGAGGGGGAUAACCAAGGGAAACUUUGGCUAAUACCGCAUAAACUCGAGAGAGGAAAGCUGCCCGUAAGGGCGGCGCUUUUGGAGGAGCCUGCGUCCGAUUAGCUAGUCGGGAGGGUAAGAGCCUACCAAGGGGAGGAUCGGUAACUGGUCUGAGAGGAGGACCGGUCACACUGGGACUGGGACACGGCCCAGACUCCUACGGGAGGCAGCAGUGGGGAAUAUUGGACAAUGGGGGAAACCCUGAUCCAGCGAUGCCGCGUGAGUGAAGAAGGCAUUCGGGUCGUAAAGCUCUUUAGGUUGGGAAGAAGGGUGUUGAGCGAAUACCUCAGCACUUUGACGGUACCGACAGAAUAAGCACCGGCAAACUCUGUGCCAGCAGCCGCAGUAACAC
This 507-nucleotide ribosomal RNA is filed under the name uncultured bacterium. Its description in RNAcentral is "bacterial SSU rRNA". It matches the Rfam family "Bacterial small subunit ribosomal RNA", at positions 29 to 526 of the family's 1533-position model. The record is from RNAcentral.